Molecule: ribosomal RNA, 426 nt
Filed under: uncultured bacterium
Lineage: Bacteria
Description: partial 16S ribosomal RNA
Rfam family: Bacterial small subunit ribosomal RNA
Source: RNAcentral
GUGAGGAAUUUUCCGCAAUGGGCGAAAGCCUGACGGAGCAAUGCCGCGUGAAGGAUGAAGGCCUAUGGGUUGUAAACUUCUUUUCUCAGAAAAGAAUUAUGACGGUAUCUGAGGAAUAAGCAUCGGCUAACUCUGUGCCAGCAGCCGCGGUAAGACAGAGGAUGCAAGCGUUAUCCGGAAUGAUUGUGCGUAAAGCGUCUGUAGGUUGUUUAAAAAGUAUUCUGUCAAAGAUUAGGGCUUAACCCUAGAUAGGCAGAAUAAACUUUUAAGCUAGAGUUUGGUAGAGGCAGAGGGAAUUCCCGGUGGAGCGGUGAAAUGCGUAGAUAUCGAGAGGAACACCAAAGGCGAAGGCACUCUGCUGGGCCAAUACUAACACUGAGAGACGAAAGCGAGGGGAGCAAAUGGGAUUAGAAACCCCGGUAGUCC